Long non-coding RNA from Mauremys reevesii (Reeves's turtle), 414 nucleotides. RefSeq lists it as uncharacterized. NCBI's taxonomy places the organism in Eukaryota, Metazoa, Chordata, Testudines, Geoemydidae. The transcript is spliced from 3 exons. The record is from RefSeq and is a predicted model, not a curated record.
CCAGAACACCCUGAUACCAGCACAUUCCCCAGAGAUAACAGGAACAUAUUGACCCACCUAAAGAUAAGUUCAAUGGAGGUCUGCUGUGCCAACUAUCUGCACAGAGCUGGGACAGCACACAGAGAAAACCCACACACAGCCAUCAUCUGGUAACAUCUAUCAACACAUUUCUGAGAACUCAGCCUGCCUGCAAGAGACAGCAGCCAUGUUGUACUCAGAACUGUUACAGUCUGAGAAGGACACACACAGACAGUGCUCUCUCAUGGACAUAUAUUUUUGUUCAUUCUUGUUGCCAUUUCUUUAAUCUAAAACAAAAGCCAUUUUAGAGUGAAGUUUGUGCAUGUAUAUAUGUAUCUCUCUCUCUCAAGCAUAUUUCUCACUCAGUGUUUACAAAUAUAAUAACUCCUAGUACCA